UUUUCAGAAGGUAUGGUGGUUGUUUGUUGUGGUGGAGGUGAAGUUGCUUCAGAUUGUUUUUGUGUUUGUUGUUGUGAAGCAAGUCUAUGAGCAUAAAGUGUGGCUAUGGUUGGGGAAUUAGGGUCAGAAAGUUCUUGGUCAGAAGAGAGGGAGACAUAUGGAGGUGAUUCAGGUUCAGAGGAUGAUGAAGAUGAAGUGCUUUGGUGAGUUUGUGCAGGUUUAGAGGGAGGUAUGAAAGUACG
This 242-nucleotide long non-coding RNA is filed under the name Lathyrus oleraceus (garden pea). RNAcentral describes it as "Pisum sativum (pea) long non-coding RNA (PSAT_LNC022826)". The record is from RNAcentral. Lineage: Eukaryota; Viridiplantae; Streptophyta; Magnoliopsida; Fabales; Fabaceae.